RNAcentral lists this ribosomal RNA (405 nucleotides) under uncultured Sphingomonadaceae bacterium. RNAcentral's name for it is "bacterial SSU rRNA". It matches the Rfam family "Bacterial small subunit ribosomal RNA", at positions 355 to 775 of the family's 1533-position model. The record is from RNAcentral. Lineage: Bacteria; Pseudomonadati; Pseudomonadota; Alphaproteobacteria; Sphingomonadales; Sphingomonadaceae.
UGGGGAAUAUUGGACAAUGGGGAAACCCGUAGCAUCCAGCAAUGCCGCGUGAGUGAUGAAGGCCUUAGGGUUGUAAAGCUCUUUUACCCGGGAUGAUAAUGACAGUACCGGGAGAAUAAGCCCCGGCUAACUCCGUGCCAGCAGCCGCGGUAAUACGGAGGGGCGUAGCGUUGUUCGGAAUUACUGGGCGUAAAGCGCACGUAGGCGGCUUUGUAAGUUAGAGGUGAAAGCCCGGGGCUCAACUCCGGAAUUGCCUUUAAGACUGCAUCGCUAGAAUUGUGGAGAGGUGAGUGGAAUUCCGAGUGUAGAGGUGAAAUUCGUAGAUAUUCGGAAGAACACCAGUGGCGAAGGCGACUCACUGGACACAUAUUGACGCUGAGGUGCGAAAGCGUGGGGAGCAAAACA